RNAcentral lists this transfer RNA (65 nucleotides) under Schizodactylus jimo. RNAcentral describes it as "tRNA-Cys". The record is from RNAcentral. Lineage: Eukaryota; Metazoa; Arthropoda; Insecta; Orthoptera; Schizodactylidae.
GGCUUUAUAGUCAAUGGAUGAUAAUAGACUGCAAUUCUAUAGUAAUGUGAAAUACAUUAAGGCCU